Mus musculus (house mouse) is the source of this 112-nucleotide non-coding RNA. Lineage: Eukaryota; Metazoa; Chordata; Mammalia; Rodentia; Muridae. The record is from Rfam.
AGGGCGUUCUCAGAGCAAAGGGAUUAAAAAUCAACUUCUCUGUUUACAACAUGUCCAACAGAAAUCUGGAGCACAUUUCUGGUUUUGCUUUGACCCAAUAUUCUAAACAGAU